ACUUGUCUGCAGCACUCAGGAGGCUCAGGGAAUUAACCAGGAGGGAACAGUAGCCCGGUUAAAAUAGUUUCUGUACUUCCAGAGGAAGCAAUUAAAUCUCAGCGUCUACCAUGGCAAAAGACCGAUUGUACUUGAGGAACAAAAUCGGGGAUGAUCAUCCUUUAGUGGCGGGAAGCUGGAAAAUGAGGGACUGUGGGCUGUGAGGAGAGAGAAAGAGGCUUGAGAAACCAGAAACCAUCAUUUGCAUCCAAGAAACUGUGCUCUCCAUGGCUUCCUCAAGAUGAGCAAACAAGAGUGAUACAGAUUUUUCUGAGAUGGACAGUGCCUCUCACUGACCCCGCCCCCAGUAUCCUACGACCAAGGAAAAGAAUCUCAUGUGUCAUUUCUGUGGGCCACGGUAGUUAAGGAAACUCCAUGUAUUUUCAUCUGGAGCCUCACAGCAACCCUGACAAGUGGCUAAGUGGGGACAAUGUGAAGCUCGGCUGCCCUUCCCCAAGGCCCUGGUCUUGACAGUCCUCAGGGGCUGGAGGCCCCCCUCAUCCAUGUCCCCACAAGAUUUCUGUCCAUGGCACCCAAGGACCCACUCAAAUGGUCUUGAAUGGACCUGAGGAAGACUGGCGAGUUAUUGGUUUUAUAAGCACAGUUGUGUCCGUUUACAUCUACCAGAAGGUACAGGGAUAUGGCGAGAGUGAGAAGACGUGACACCUGUUAAUACAAACUCUCCCCUUUAACUUGUCUUUCCAGAGAACACAGAAUGGGAGACACCGCUAAAACAGGCCACGUUAGCACUAGAACUGAUAAACUGAGAGCUAGGUUCUAGAUAGAAAAGUUACGAUGAAACAUCCUCAUCAUUGUCAACAGAUGAAUAUCUAAACCUCAGCUUUGAUGUCCUCUGCCAAAUGGAUUGGAUGAUGCCUGCCCUUGCCACUCCACGGGGUCUUUGGGGAUGAACUGAGCUACAAUGGCGAGGGAGCGGGUGGGAUACUAACUGGCCCUUCCCCUAGAUAGGAGGCCAUCAAGUGCAGAGCCAGAGACCGGCCCUGGGCCUCCGCAGGCUCCCCCGGAGCCAAAGAGAGGCCAAACCGAAGCGCCCUGCCCAAGGCCGCCCUAACGCGACUCUGGCCGCUCCUGCCUAGCAGAUACCGGCUGGUGCCCUCGCUUCGGAUGCAAGAUCCCAGCUCUGCUGCAGC
This 1190-nucleotide long non-coding RNA is filed under the name Homo sapiens (human). Its description in RNAcentral is "HSALNT0376309". Lineage: Eukaryota; Metazoa; Chordata; Mammalia; Primates; Hominidae. The record is from RNAcentral.